RNAcentral lists this ribosomal RNA (575 nucleotides) under Nocardia seriolae. RNAcentral's name for it is "bacterial SSU rRNA". It matches the Rfam family "Bacterial small subunit ribosomal RNA", at positions 418 to 1003 of the family's 1533-position model. The record is from RNAcentral. Lineage: Bacteria; Bacillati; Actinomycetota; Actinomycetes; Mycobacteriales; Nocardiaceae.
UUUGUUGUUAAACCUCUUUCGACAGGGACGAAGCGCAAGUGACGGUACCUGUAGAAGAAGCACCGGCUAACUACGUGCCAGCAGCCGCGGUAAUACGUAGGGUGCGAGCGUUGUCCGGAAUGACUGGGCGUAAAGAGCUUGUAGGCGGUCUGUCACGUCGGUCGUGAAAACUCACAGCUCAACUGUGGGCCUGCGGUCGAUACGGGCAGACUAGAGUACUUCAGGGGAGACUGGAAUUCCUGGUGUAGCGGUGAAAUGCGCAGAUAUCAGGAGGAACACCGGUGGCGAAGGCGGGUCUCUGGGAAGUAACUGACGCUGAGAAGCGAAAGCGUGGGUAGCGAACAGGAUUAGAUACCCUGGUAGUCCACGCCGUAAACGGUGGGUACUAGGUGUGGGUUUCCUUCCACGGGAUCCGUGCCGUAGCUAACGCAUUAAGUACCCCGCCUGGGGAGUACGGCCGCAAGGCUAAAACUCAAAGGAAUUGACGGGGGCCCGCACAAGCGGCGGAGCAUGUGGAUUAAUUCGAUGCAACGCGAAGAACCUUACCUGGGUUUGACAUACACCGAAAGCCUAGA